GGAAGACACCCCUCCAAACCUCUCCCCCCAAAACAGGCCCAGCCAGCAUCAAGAACUUUCUCAAGUUCAAUUUCAUGACACGGCCGGAAAAUGCAAGAAACUGAGAUAGAAACAGAAGAGAGCUUAAGAGAAACCAAACUGCUGUUAGCAAGCACCAGAUGACUCGGAGGAGAGGGUGGCUCCCAACCAGCAGAAACAUGAACUGCCUUCAGGUCAAGGCCAGUGCUGCAAAACUGUCCAUGUGGGAACUGCAUGCACACCAUGAGGCGCCUCUUGUUGCUGCUCAGAAAUAACAACAUAUUUAAAAUGCACACUGGAAAACCACGCUUAUUAAGGCAAUGUGUGUGUGUGUGUGUGUGUGUGUGUGUGUAUGUGUGUUGCUAGGGAUUAAACCCAAGACCUUUGAAUUGAGCUGCAUCUCCAAUUAUUGUUUUUAUUUUGAGUCAGGGUCUUGCUAUG
This 459-nucleotide long non-coding RNA is filed under the name Chinchilla lanigera (long-tailed chinchilla). RNAcentral describes it as "lncRNA (ENSCLAG00000026102.1)". Lineage: Eukaryota; Metazoa; Chordata; Mammalia; Rodentia; Chinchillidae. The record is from RNAcentral.